This 34228-nucleotide long non-coding RNA is filed under the name Vitis vinifera (wine grape). Its description in RNAcentral is "long non-coding RNA (VVIN_LNC006424)". The stretch from base 2181 to 2268 matches the Rfam family "tRNA". The record is from RNAcentral. Lineage: Eukaryota; Viridiplantae; Streptophyta; Magnoliopsida; Vitales; Vitaceae.
AUUUACCGGAAAAUGCAGUGUUCCAUCUGAAACAUAAAUUAUAAAUUAUAUUGAAUCUACUAACACAGAAUGUUCUGUUCUCAAUGAGUUUACACAAAACAGGUGAAGAAGCAAAGACCAGCAGUCUAAGAUCCAGGCACAAACUUGGUGGCGUAGACCCAUGCGUUAUUAGCAACUGGGUUGUCAAGGUGGUCCAAGAGGUUCUCAAGGGGGCCUUUUCCGGUCACAAUAGCUUGGACAAAGAAGCCAAACAUGGAGAACAUGGCUAGCCGUCCAUUCUUGAUUUCCUUGACCUUGAGCUCAGCAAAUGUGACCGGGUCAUCAGCGAGGCCAAGAGGAUCGAAGUAUUGUCCACCAGGGUACAGGUUGUUGCCAUCUCCAACUCCAGGAAGGCCAUUAAUGCGGAAGCCCUCAACAAGACCCAUGAGGACAACUUGGAAGCCGAGGACUGCCAGAAUGCUCUGGGCAUGAACAAGGUUGGGGUUGCCCAAGUAGUCCAGGCCGCCCUCGGAGAAGAUUUGAGCUCCAGCUUUGAACCAGAUUGGUUCUUUGAAGUCCACUCUAAGCCACUUCUCAAGGACUUCUGGGGUGAUGCAGCCCAGUGCUCCAAGCAUAGCCCAACGCCCGUGGAUCACCUAAAACCAUUUAUAGGAUCAAAGUAGCAUCAUUACCUUCAUAUUACAUUCUACAGACUGUUCAGAUUAAUCAGAAAGGGUUUGAGGAACAGGGGAGCAAAAUACUGAAAACAGCCUAGAAAGGAACCCUUUUCUAUUUCCAUGCAUAUAUUUUUAGGUUUUUUGCUUUCUUUUACUUGGUUUUUCUAUUUUUGACAUCAUAAUGGAGUAUAGCCACACGGCAAAAGAAGUUUGCUUCUGUGGGUUCUGGUUGUAUCAGAGUUCAUAAAGGCAUCCACCUCACAUUUUUAAGAAACAAAGCGAUGGUUCUUGUGAGCUUGAGUCUCUCAAGUAAAAAUGUUCUUUAGUAGGUUUUGCUUUAAACACCAAUUUUUCAGAUUUAUGGGGGCAAAUCCAUGUCCUUGGGAUUCAAAAGCUCUCUGAAAACAUCAUUUUUAGUAAAUUCUUGAUCAUCUUCACGGUAAACCAACUAGCAGUGAUGAAUUACCUCAAGAGCCCUGUUCCUGGCAAAGGCCUCAGGAUCAGCAGACAAUCCAGCGGUGUCCCAUCCAUAGUCUCCUGGAAAUUCUCCAGUCAGGUACGAGGGAGUCUGAGCUGAGAAGGGUCCCAAAUACUUCACUCUGUCAGGUCCAUACCACAGCUCAUUCCCCUACCCAAUUCACAACCCAAAAAAACAAACACCCAUUUCAGUUAUUCAACCCAUAACACAACACACACACAAAACCAAACUUCGAGAGGGUGUAUGUGUCUUUACCAUGGUGUAUUUCCCAGUUCCCAUAGGGACAACAUCUCUAAGAGGGUUAGAGUUUGCUCCCCUGGUUUGGCCCAGAAAUGGGGUUGGUCUGAGGACAGUGCUGGAGCUUGCUGUUGCUGCCAUCAACAUUGCUGCCUCCACUUCCUUUCUCCCUUUUCCUUUCUGUGUUGGAGCUGUGUUUUUCUGAAGAGAAAGUGUGUACAAGGGAAGCCGAGUGUAUAUGUGAAUGUGGAGGAACCAAGAAUCAGAGAUGGGUGGUUAGGAAUGCAAGAGUGGGAAAUUGUGGUGGGGAUUCUGAGGUUUGAACCAACCAAUCAGAUGGCUUUUAAGGAUUCUAUGUAUCUCAUACCCAUAUCCUUCUAUCCACAUUUUAUCUUUUGUCCCACAGAUUGGAAAAAUGAAAAAUCACCCACGGAUAACUUUCCUCAAUUGACUGAAAAAAAAAUUAACUUCUUGGGUGAAAAUUUAAGCAUUUUUUGGAUUCAUUAGUCUAAGAAAUCCCAACUGUUAUGGUAUGUGGAUUGUGGAGCUAGUGGAUUGGAUUUCAGAGGUUUGGCCCAAUGGAAUGUGCUCUCUCUCAUCAAGCAUAGUCCCUAAUCAGGAUAUUCUCUUGUGCUAGGUAUAUGCCCAAAAAAGAAUAAAUGGACUUCACUGAAUAUCCAAAUUGCACUGUGAGUAAUCAAAUGGAGUAUAAUGCUUCAAUUUUAAACAAGCCCACAGGUGAUCUCUUUUUCUCCUUCAAGUUUAUCUACUAAGUACGUAAUAAUAUUUUUGAGGGCCAUCAUACAAAUCCGACCUUAGCUCAGUUGGUAGAGCGGAGGACUGUAGUGGGAUUCCCCAGAUAUCCUUAGGUCGCUGGUUCGAAUCCGGCAGGUCGGAAUCACUUUUUUUCCCUACGACCAAAAUGGACUGUUUCCACUUCUUUUCAAUAAAGAAUUAAGAUUACAGUUUAUGAACUAAAAAUUUAUCUGCAUGAGAUUUGAGAGUGAUGGAAAGAAUGCAGCUCGUAAAAAUAUUAAUCAUUAUAAACAACAAACGUAAGAAGGGUUUUUGGGGGGCAGAUUGAUCAGCUCAAAGUCUAAAACCCUUCUCACCAUUCCAAUUCUCAGUGCUAACUCAGCACUGAAUAUUAAAAGAGAUGAAUUACAUGCCUUUGUAUUUGUUUUACAGACAGUCACUGAAGUUGGUGGGUGAAGUCAGUUGUUCCUCUACUCUUAAGCAUUCUCUCCAAUAUGGAUCUUCACCUCCAUUUGCAAUAAUAUGCGCAAAGAAGAUGGUUUAAAGUUGAAUGAGGAGAGGGUGAGGACGACAUUUGGGAUAUUGAUAUUGUAAACUAAUAAAGUUUUAAAUAACUUGCUUCACAUCUCCGACCUUAGCUCAGUUGGUAGAGCGGAGGACUGUAGUGGGAUUGUCCCGAUUAGAUAUCCUUAGGUCGCUGGUUCGAAUCCGGCAGGUCGGAUGCUUUUUUUCAUUGGUCAUUUGUAGUAAAUCCGACACUCACUUGUGACCCUAACCUCAUUUCAAUAUUUUUGAAUUCUUUCAACGGUCGAAAAACUGAUGCUACGCUGUCACAUGGUAACACCAUAAAUCCUCUCAUCAACAUCGUACACGUGGGACGUGGCAAACAAGAAUGUAGACCCCAUUAUGUGAACGCAUAUCCCAAUAAAAAUAUUGAUUCAGCCAUUGGGGCUCCAUCAAAACUUGGUAUACCGUCCGCCCAGAUGCAAAUGGAAGAUUUAGAGCCUCUAGAACCCUCACAGAAUACAGAGAAUCUUCGGUGAGAAAAGGUUCAGCAGAGAAAAGAGUAAAUGGGUCUCAAGAAAACUGACGAUCACUGGGCUUUUCUGGUAUUCAUCUCUUUAUUACACACUUUAUUAGGAUCUAUGAGCGUAGAUUCUGGGUUUCUGUUUUUGCUUUCUUGCUGGGUUUUAUUUUUGAAUUUAGAAAUGGGGUUUUUAGGGUUUCUUGAAUUGGAAAUGAGUGGGUUCUCUGAUUUUGGUGGCCAAGUCGUUGUGGAUUAUAACAUUUCAGCAUCUGGGUUUUGUUUUGUUUUUUUGUUUGUUUUUGCUUUAUUGCAUUAGAAAUUAUGGGUGCCUUGAAUUUGAUUCUUCGGAUCUAUUCUGAGUGAGGGUGGAUAGGAUAGGAAAUGAUGGGUUUCUUGGUUUGAGUCAUCAAUUAUUCCAUGUGGCUGUUUCUGUAGUUCGUAUGAUUGUGUCAUUUCAACAUUUGGGUUCUCUUAUUGUUGUUGUUUAUUAGAUAGAAAUUAUGAAACAUCUUGAAUAUUGAUCAAGCAUUUGUUUCACUUUGGUGUAUAUGGGGCUGUAGCGUUCUUGCCAUGUGGUGAAUUAAAAAAUUAUGGUUUUCUUGAUUUUGGUUUGUUGGGUCUAUUUUUAAUCAUUGAAGCAGAAAAUAAUGUGGUAUCUUUUGAUUUAUGGUUCUGUUCUUAGACUGGGUCUUGCAUGGUUGAUUAAUUUCACCAUUUUAAUAUCUGGGUUGUCUUAUUCUUGGCACUUCCUCUGAUUCCUGGUUUUGUAGUUUUUGAAUGUUAUAUUCCAUACUCGAUUGUAAUAAUGUGAUUAUAGUCUAUUUUCCCCUUUGUUCUGUUCUGAUUUCCCAUAUCAUCUUACUGUUUCUACCCUUUCACAAUUGCCUUUUCAUCUGCUGAUUGAUAUACAGGAAGAAUUUGAAGCUCCUAUGUGGGCAGAUCUUACCCUAGAAGCUAAGACCAAUAACCAAGAUGUGUAAGUUUCUCCAAAACUGGUUCCCAGAUGCAAGAAAGUGAGUAUUUUCUUUUCAAUGAAAAAAAUGUGUUCCUUGACUCCUAUCAUAUUGUUCUUUUGCUAAAUUGCAGAGAUGACAAGUGGUUCCACAUAAGCCAUCCGUAAGCCUCUUUUUGUUCUCCACUUAUUGUUGCAGUUGUGAUAUGUCAGUUUUGGAAUUUCUGUUAUGCAAUCUCUUUACUUACCUGUCACUAAAUUGAUUUAAUUUUCAGGUUCCACCAGUUUUCCUCUCACCAGUUAAAAUCUGCAUUUUCUGGUUCCAGUGAGGGGAGUGAAAACUUGGACUUUGACUUACAUGGACCAUCUUCUCCUAAACUUCCUUCCUCAGUCUCUAGAUCAAGAGGCAAACACUAUAGGAGCAGAAACUGGGGAAAGGAAAAUGGUGGGUUUUCAUUAAAUAAGCAGCAUCCAGUCAAGAGUUUAAGUGGUAAAACUUCAUGGGUUGAUUCAGGCUCUAGCCAGGAAAUAAAACCAAAACCAAGCUGUGGAAACUUAAAGGGAACUUGCAGUUCAAAAACUAGUUUGGGUUGUGACAGCAGCUCAACUAGAACUUCCAUACCAAACUAUACCAUACCUAUAUCCAGUUUCGGAGAUUCAAAAGGUCGUUUGAGUUCUGUAGCAAUUAAGGCAAGUGAAAGCAAUUCAACAACAAGCACCGUUACAUUUGAAGGUACUCAUCAACAACCACAAAAGUCCUUGGAGGUAUCCAGUGGACCAUUUGGUCACACAAGUGGACUCUUGUCAGUUAUGAGGAUUACUCUUAGAAAGAGUUGUGCUACGAGACAAGCAUCAAGAGUGGAGAUCAAUAAAUGUCAGCAAUCAGAAGGAUGUAAAUCUUCUGCUGGCAAGUCCAGUGUGGGAUCGUCUUCAAAUCCUGGUUAUGAUGUUAAGGAUAGGACAGCUACAGAAAUACGGAACAGAGAUAGGACCCCAGAUAGUAGAAACGUAAUGCGAACUUCUCAAACGGCUGUGAACAGAGGAAGAGCCUCAACUACAUCUAAGGCAUCAAAUAUUCUAGUUGAUUAUAGGACUAAUAAUUCAAGAAAGGAAGGAAAAAGAAUUGUUGCGAAGUCAACCACCAAGGAUGCUGUGAAAUCAAAGGUGAGAAGACUGUAAAAAUCCAAUUGAGAACCAAAUUCUAACAAACUCCUGAACUGUACCUGACUUUUUGAUUAAACUAACGUAAAUCAGAUUAGUCACAAAGAUCAUUUGAUAAAUCCCCCAAUAACUUUACAACCAUUAUGCUUGGCUUUCUUGUAACUUAUCUAUGGUGUCUUUUGUCUUACCAAUUCUGUGAUUGUCCUGGCAAUUAGGCUUUGAACCAUGAUUAAUAAUGAGUUUCUACAUAUAUUUUGCAGGUUGUAUGUCAGACCAUAAACAGAAAAGGUUUGGUACCACUUAGAGUUAAUGAACAAGAUCCAUUGACGGCUGCUACAAAAGCUAAGAGCAAAGUGGGAGUUGGUGCAUCCAAUAGAUUGGCAGGUGGUGGGAAGGAAAAUGCAAGUGGGAAGCUAGCUGUGAGCCAGAAAUCUAGUGGCAGAGACAUAGCUGCCAGAGACAUAGUUAGGGGUCAGACAGGGAAGAAGCAGAGUAUAUCACGAAAGGGUGAUAAAACAGGAUUCACUGGUCCAAAGGUACAGAUGACAGGAAACCCUCUUUGGUAUAUUACAGUUCAAUGGAAAUUGAAAGACCAGAAUACUAGUCCAACAAAUCAUAAUUUUAAAAUGAAUUUGUUUUGAGCUAAUAGUGGAAACUACUUGGAUUCUAGUUACCAUAAACAUUUCCUGGGUAUGUAAUUGUCUGCGUUGUCCAUCUGGGAAAAGUAUUCUAAUCUCAUUGAUUCUUUAGUUUGAAUAACGCUUCCUGCAAUCCUGCGCAAUCUAUACUCUUCUUGUUGCCUUUAUUUCACCUGUUUGGGCCAAUGAACCAUUCUUAGGUUUAGUUGAUGCACUAAAACUAUUUUUACUGAUGGUGGAGGCACUUAAAUUUAUCCCAUGUAUAAUACCCAUGGUUUCCAGUUUAGACAUAAUGCUUAUAUCUUUCAUAUUUGAGUUAGACGAGGAACAGAGAAUUGUUUUCACAUAGGUCUUGUUCUGAAACUGUGGUUUUGUUUGAACCAUAGAUUUGUUUGUGCUCUGACCUUCACUUAACCAAAUCUCCCAGAUCAUUUUCGCUCACAAUACUGGUCUGAAAAUGAUGAACCAUUAUGCUUUUGGCUUUGUACAAUAGUUCCAAUAUAACUAUAGUAAAAUACGACAACCCUAGACCCUGUAUUUACCUGCAUACUGAUAAAUUGUCUAAAUAGUUUUUAAUAUUUAUGGUAUUUUCACUUGGACCUGAUUUUCUUGUUUACGUCUUUAUAAGCAGGGAAAAAUCAGUGGACGAAGUGAAGGAAAAACCUCAAUGAAUGUGCAUCAGAAGGUGUUCCUCCCAUAAGGGUGCAAUGCAGCAGCAUGUGUAUAUACAAACAUAAUUCUUUUUUUCUCCUUCCACCAAAGGGUGCAAUGCAGCAGCAUGUGUUCCUCCCCGUUUUUGUUCAAUCUGAUGGUAAACUUUGAUUGCUGUAGCUUGCAAUCUUUCUCUGACCCGGGGAACCAUUGCCCCCCACUGUCUUUGUGAAAUGUUCAACCCCUGUACUGGCUUUACUUGACACAUCCUUUGUAUAUAAACCUUCAAGCUAGUCAUGAGAGUGGAAUAGUUCAAGACUUCAAGCUGAGCCUGGUUUAAUUGGGAAUUGAGCUUGAGAUUAGCUCUCACCCUAGCCAAUUUUGAAGUCUGGAUUUUGUAGGUUUUUCAUUAUUCCAAUGUUAUACCCUAUUCGAAUGCUUAUAUUUCUUCAUUCCUCUAUCAGAAUACUUGAAUUUCACAUGCAUGAAGAGUUGUGCCAAAGGUUGGUUGAGGUUGGUUUGUUAGAAAUCAAGAUUAGAACUCAUUUCAUAUUGAAAACGAGACUUAUAACCAAAUAAACAUUGUUCUCAUUUCAACAGGAAAGGACUAUUUAGGGCUUGAACUCUUUUUCCUGUACGCCAAGGAUUCAAAACAUUGAGAUAAAUGUCUUGGGUGGAGAAACCUGCCCAACCCUGACAUGUGGAGGAUUUGGAGCUCUCCAAGGCACCUCCCCAUCAUGAGCAUGCCGGAACAUGAUAGUUGAACUCAAAGAAGAGUUCAAUGCACCUUUCGUCCAUCAAGAGUUCUAGUCUAAAAAGCAUUUAUUUAAACAAAAACAAAUUAAAAAAAUAAAAAUUCAGGUGUCUAAUAAAAUUUGAAAAAUAUUUUUAAAAAGUCGAAAAAUCGCUCACUUAUCCUCCUUCAGGCAAUUUUUUAGAAUUCUACUAAAAGAACUCGUGCUCGUCCCUUCUUAAAUAGACGAGUUUUCCAGGUUAUAAAUCACUUCUCCAGGUUGGCACAAUGUUUUUUGGGAGUACUCGUAGACUCAGCCCCAUGAGAAAGUUGGGACAAGUAAUUAAAAUUUCUGAAAGAGAUUGUUUGAGCCACAUUUCAAAAGUACAAAAAACUGCAAGACCUUUCUGCUAAAAUUCCAUUUGUCACCUGAUAGACGAUUAAUGAAAUGGCUAAUUAUGAUGUUGCCCUACCACUUCAAACCUCUGAGAGAUAAAACAGUCAAAUCAUUUAACUUCCAGUGGCCAUUUGAAUGGUGACCACAGUGGAGGACUCUGAAGCAACUGCAACCCACCUCUGUUCUGCAGAAAAUACUUCAGAGUUGGGUAACAUUGGAAAUCGGCAUCACCUACAUCUUUAUACGAUUACUUGUCCACUGUGCAACAUCCACCAACAACAAUGUGCAGAAGAUGAGCAUAAAGCUUCAGAUGCGUAAUGUACAUGUCUACAUCAAUUUGCCUCUGGGAAUUGGGAAAAAAGUGCAGCCUUAACCAAAGACAUUAAGUUUAUGGUUUUUUUGUUUCUUGUCCCAGAAUAUAUAGCUUAUCAUACUAUUUUCAUUGUGAGUUGAUACAUUAGAAUGGCUCAUCCCAAGGUUUGAUACAAAAACAUGUUGCCCCAACCAGCAUUUAUGAACUUUGGGGGCAUAGUUUACCUUCUUAGAGCACCAUAAUUCCUUGUUACCUACAAACAUGGAGAUAAGUAGUUAGGAUAGUUAUAUGCAGAUCAUAUGAAGUUGAAACACAUGUAAGGCUCGUCUUCAUUUCAUUUUAAUAACUAUUCUCAUGGGUUUUAAAGUAAACCUUUUACAUAUGCUACCAUAUGACCCAGGUUCAGUGGAAAUAUCACCUAAACACACAUACUCAGAGAGAGAGAAACAUAGACACACACAUGUAUGCACAACUCAAGUAAAGAUUGACGUGGUGGCUGUGGAUGUAAAAUAAAGAUCUGAGAAAUAAAAUAAAAUAAAAACCCUACAGCCAACUUUAAUAUGGUUAACGCAUAUUUAUGUAACCAUCUUAAAAACCUUUUCAUUUAUGUUAGAGUUUAUCUUAUUUUGUUACCUUAUGUUAAAGAGUAAUUUUACUUAUCGGUUACUAGGGGUUAUGUUUGCAAGGUUGGUUAAUAAUAUAAUAAGUGAAAAGAUAUAGGAAAGUCAAGUUCACAGAUUUUAUUUUUAACUAGGUAUUAGAGCAUUGAUGUGCUUAUUGUUGAUUAGGUAGAUCAUUCCCAAAAAAGAAUAAAAUGAACUCCAAUAAUAUUCAAAAGCUAAAUUUAGAAAAUGAAGAACAAUGAGCAUAAAAUGGCAUAGGUCUUCAUUCUUGGAACAAGCACCUAAAUAGGACAUUUCAGGAUAUAUGUUGAGGUCAACAUUGGCAAGGAAAGAGACUACUCAAAAGAACAAAAAUAAGACUGAGAUGAAUAUAACUUACCCGAGGCUGAGGCUUAUUUAAUCUCUUUGACAUGUCAUCCUCAUCAUCAUCAUCAUCAUCUUUGUUCAUAAGCAUUCUCUGAAUUGAAGUGGAAUCUGAUUUCCUUCCUCGCUUAGAGGAUGUAGUAGCACCUCUACCCCUUCCCCUUGGAGCAGCUCUUUUGCGUCCUUUGCCUUGGAGAUUCUCAUCAUUUUCCUUGAGAAGAAAUUUCUAAAUUAAUUCAGUCUAUGUUACAAGAAUGUCCACAUCUUUGCUCUUUCAAGAAGGAAAACACACUCAACAUAGAGGCAUGGCUACAUGGUUAACUUGAAUCAAAAUGAAUUAUGCAAAGGAUCUUGAUGCACUAAAUUUGAACCAGGUAAAGCUUUUCCUACCACAUUGUCUCAGAUUCUCAAUGAUAACAUAUAUGAAAUAAUUAAAGUCAUAAAUUAAAUUUUUUACUUUGAUUUCUAUGGUUGCGAAUUAUCAAAACUACUCAAUUUUUCAUGAUAAGCUGAGGUGCAAAAGGGAGUGCAUGUCUCAUCAUGGAAUUGGCUCAAUAGUAGUUGCCCAAGGUUGAAUCCAUACAUACUGAGAUGUUGAAGUGAAAAAACAACAAUGAGAGAGGUGCUUCUUAAGCCAAUAAUUGUUCAUUUGUUCACUUUUAAUGUGGUUGAAUGUAUUUAACUUGCAGGUCAUUAUAAAAACAGCCACUCAUAAGUUGAUGUAUUAAGUCAACAUAAAUCAUACCGAGCUGUCAUCAACCUCAUUAAUUCCAUAUUUCCCUGCUUCAUCGCUUGAACUGGACUCCACAUUGUCCUCAUCAUCAGCAAGGUUUCGAACAGCAGCUGUCGCAGCAACUGAUGCAGAUCUGCAGCAACAAACUUAUCUAAGAAACUUUGCUAGCAAGCAUGAAUAUCUUAACUUUUUGUUUAAUGCAAUAAAUAGCAAAAGGUACAGUAGGCUUCUGAUUUCAUACAUCUACACUUCCUCAAGGUCUGUUCUUUCAGAAACCAAAUAUUCUGUUAUGAGAAGAUGGUGUACAUUUGUGAACAAAAUGGUGUACAACUACACUUCCUCAAAGUCUGUUCUUUCAGAAGUCAUGGAUGUAAGCACUACUGAACUCCAUAAAUUUUCUUGUGUUUGCACUCUUGUUUUAUUUGUUUACUUUCCUGGUUAGGCCCAGGAAUUUUAUGUCCAACCUGAUGCACAUGUCAUGUAUUGAAUGCCAACAAGAAUUUUCAACCAUUAAUAGGAAAUUUACAAUGGUUACACAUUUCAUAAUAUUUUAUCCUGACAAUGACAAUAAUAAUUAGAACAACUUCUAAAGUGAACAUCAAGUUAUGGAAAUCUUGCAAGGAUAUCAAUACUUAUACAGGCUACAAAACAAGCAGAAUAAGCAAGAAAUUUAAUAUUCACUCAACAAAACAAAUCUCAACAAAAGAGAAUCAAUUCAUAUCAAUGAGAAAGCAGCAAGAGUGGCCAGAAAAUCCAUCAAAUGUGUGUACAAGUUUGGAAAGAGAAAUGAAACAGGAGGCGACAAAUCUCGUCCCCCCCUCUCCAGCUUAAAUUACUAUUUUAGUAUGUUGCCCUUUUUUGUUUCACAUCUUCUACUUGUAGUGAAUAUUAUUGUUGAUCUUUGAUUUUUUCAAAGAAAAAAGAUAGGAAAUUGUAGAUUGAACCAUCUUCAAAGCUCCCUUUACUUUCAAAUGGAUCCUAAACGAGCCUGGACUGUGAAUUAUGUCAUUUUAAUUUCAUAACAUUAAGCAGCUAUUAGGUAGAAAAGUCAGCCUACAGAGAUUAGCCAUUGCAAAAAUUAGCCUUACAUGUGAAUUAGACAAAAAUGAGCUGCUUUGGACUGUUAAAAGACCAAAAACCUGGCGUAUAACUAGAUUUCCUUAGAGAAUUAUUAAUAGACAAAUUCCAAAAAUUAAAAAAGGGCUCCAUGAACAUGACACUUUAUUGGAUCUGAGACAAUAUUCAGUAAGCUGAAAAUCAGCACAGUUAAUUAUAAUUGCAUACAGUAUAAUAGUGAUGGUCCAACUAGAUGUACUGCCAGUAUAUGUUUCUUAAUCUUUUACCUGAAAUUCAACAAAGAGGCUCAAACACCAUCCCUCUACCCCCUUCCAUGUUUGCAUGUGCACAUGCCGAAGAACAAAAGGAGGAAAAAUGAAAUGUGCCACACAAAAUAUCUUGUAUCUUUUAUAGUUGCCAAGUAAUGUGAGAUUUCAAGACUCAGGAUUUUCAAUGAGAAAAAAAAAUUCUGGAAAGAAACAAACAAUAUUAUUCUCAAUAGUAUUCACUUUAUUGUGAGAAAUCAAAAUGCUUGUAAUUUCCUGAAAGAACAGUAUCAGAAAUAUUAAUGAAUAAAUAAGCAACAAAGUAACCUUUCAGAAUGGCGGAAUCCCAGACUUGAAUCAAGUGUCAUCUGCUUCAAGGUACUGGAGCUCCUCCCCCUGCCCCUGCCCCUGCCCCUUCCUCUUGUAGAAGAUUUACCUUUACCUUGUUCAGAAGCAUCAUGGGAGGACUUAAAGGUUGCUGAUGACCCUUUUCUGCCCCUAGUGGCAGAUUUUGACCCAGAUAACUGGGUGGGGUCUUCAUCAUCACUAAAGGAAACUGCACUUCCAGUUUCAGCAGUACCUUUACUUCUGAUAUUCUACAAAAAAUUGAAAAAAGAAGAUUAGAAAGCAGAGAGUGGACAAAUAUUGAACAAGAAUGACAGGUAAGAAGGGAAAAAAAAUCCAGCCAUGGGGAUCACUUGUUCUGCUAAGAAAACUAGAAGAAUAAGCAUUACCUCCAAUGACCGAGCACUUGACAUGAACUGUGGGGUUUCCUUUGAGUGCACUGACCUUUCCUUGACCCGUUCCUGCAAUAGUUAUAUUUAGUUACCAUCAAAUUAUAUAUUUCCCAUAUAGGCAAGGUAUGCAGGCAGCAGGUUCACACCAAGUGUCAGUGAGAUGCCAAAUGCUACUUCUGCAAAGCAAUGUCCUAAAGGGGAAGGAAGAGUACAUGUAGAGAGAUUCCUUCUUUUACUCGGGAAGAAUUAAUCCUAACUACUCAAAAGGCAAAGAGUACAAUUAACUUUUAGAUUUAAAAUCACUGCUUAUAUACUUACUAAUGCCCAUAAUUUACGAUAACAUUCUAUAAUCUAGUAAGAUGGGGAAGGGUUAUGGCUUUACCCUGGUGUGAGAUAUCACAUUACUCGAGGAAUUCUAUACAAUGUCAGAAUAACGGAAACACCUUAUUUAUAGAUAAUACAACCUUAACAUCUUAGGUGAGAUUCUUUCAUUACUUUCUAAUAUAUACCAACAGUUAUUGAAGUGAUAUUACAAAUUAAGAAUUGGGCAAUCAUCCAAGGCCCCAAGGACAUUCAAGCCAAGGUGGCCAUUUUGAAAUGCCUGCUCUGCUAGACCCUAAUUAAAGUAGAAGAGCCCUCAGAAAGGGAAAAAAAUCACCUAGGAGACAAUUGGACAACACUAGGAAACCCUUAAAAUAAUUAAAAAAAAGGAAAGAAAUUCAAUAAGGAUAAGCUUCUUGCCUCCAAGCACUCUCCAACUUUAAGAAUUAAAUCUUCCUCUUCAAACUUUAAAGGAUCUGAAUCACGAGCAAUUUUACUCUGUCCAAAUAGAAAAACUGAUCAUGAACACACAAACAUAAUAUCUACAAACAUCAGAUAAAUCCACAAACAACUCAAAAUCAUCUGCAAUAUACUUACAAUUGUUAUAUUCAAACAAAUUCAAUACCAUAUAGAUGUGGUAUAACUAAAAACCAACCUAAACUAUCUGCAAUAUUGUCACAGAAAUUUGAAGACAUAAUAUGGAGUACUUACACGUGUCUCUUCCAGAUUAUAUUGAACACAAGAAUAGAAAGCCAUUUUGUCAUCUUUGUUGACAAAAUUGUGCAAUGCAACAUCCAAAUCAUUGACUGGAAGGAUCUCCAUUUUCUGCAUCAAUAAGUAUCAUUCUCAGGGACCCAGAAGUGAAAGAAAGAAAAGAUUAAAUAACUAUAUUGCUUCCGUUGUCACACCUGAAUGCCACUUAUCCAAGUCCUAUUUGAUCCAGUAAUUGGAAAAGAAUAGAAACUUCACUCCAGGACAGGACAAGUAGAACCAAGCUCAUAGAACUGAAGCCCAUGAUUUCAAUUAUUAGGUAAUAUUAAUGGUCUAUCAGGGUUCCACCGGAAUGAAAAUUACCAACUGAAGUGACAUAUAAAAGUUAAGAAAAGCAAAGAAAAGAUGAAACAUGAUGAUUUGAGUACCAGAUUAUUCUCAGCAACUAAGGCUUCUAUAUUUUGUUGAUUCAAUUCUUCUGGGCGAAGCCGCUCAGAGUCAUCAAUUUUGGCUACAGUCCAGGAAAGAAACCACAUUCAUUCCAUUUCCAUUUAAGGAGUGAAACCAAACAUCAUCAAAAAGGAAAAAUAAAUGGUAAAAAAUAAUUAGACUCUGUCAGAAAUACACUUGUAUCAAAGAACAAGAUAAUGUCAAAUGACAUCUAAUUUUUAGAGCAAAAACAGAACCUUUUCAAAAGUGAAAAACUUACCAUGCUCCAAUAUAGCCAAAAAGACUACAAUCAUAGUUUCCUAAACAAAGUAUAAACACUGUAUUGAAAAGAUAACCAAAACUUUGUGAUAUUCAAACUACAGUAGAUUUAGAGUACCAUUUGUUAUUAGUAGCAUGGAUCAUCAUCAUCAUCCAAACCCAUUCUAUUAUUAGAAUUUGACUAAUCCAUUUCAGUUGGGUGUAAAACCUAUUUUCAUUGAAAAGGAAGCUUGCCAAAACUGUAGCCAGUAGACCAAAAUGUUCUACAUGAACUCUAGCCCAAGUUAGUGCUUAUAUUGGAAACAAAAGUUUUAAGCUUUAAUUUCAGGGUCAGGCUUCAGUUGCUCCAACAAUGAACCUUGGCUUGAGUCUGGAUCGCCUUCUAAGUGAGCUUGAAUGAGUCCAUUACCAACCCAAACCCUAGCAACACAAAAAUCUUAGUUCAUUGCAGCCCCAGGAAAAUCAGUCUAUGUCCCAGCUCCCAAGGGAGGUACAACCAGCUAGUUUAGUUUGAUUUUAAAAACAAUUCAAUACACAAAGUUUAACUUCUAAAUAUAUUCGGGCUUGAACUUCAGCAAGUAGGCUAAUAUCCAUGCCAAAACUAUAAUUCACACCAUUGCAACAAGCAUUAGUUGAGAUCAUCAGUAUGUGGUUUUAGAUGGUACCUUAGAACUUUCUCACCAGGUUAUAUCAACUACCACCCCAAACAUGUUUUUGGAAAACAACAAUUAACAUUCAAAAUAACAUUGCAUAUUUAAGAAAGAGAGCAUUUUCAAAGAUUGGAAAUUUUAGUAUGCAAGUAAACACAAUAUACAUUGAUUUCUACAGGGUAACUAGGUAUAAGCAAAGUUUAGUCUAACCAAUGUAAAAUCAAAUACUCAAAACAAGAAAGUUACUAGCAGCCCAAUAACUGAUUUUAAUUACCUUCACUACGACCUUUUCUUGAAGCCUUUGUGAAAAUAAGAAUAUCUUGGGGAUUUGCAACCUACAAAAUCAAACAUAUCAAUUGUUUGUGAAUUAUGACAUUCUAGAGAAUCAACAUUAGCUUCCUUAUCCAUGAGGGAUAUACCUUGCCCACAUACUUUUGCCCAAACCUUUGAGGAUUUAUUGUCAUAAAUCCAGAGUAAUCUACCUGUUAAAUAAAAAAGAAAGGCUAAGGAUAAAAUUGUAUUUAAUGGUUACACACUCCACAAUGCCAUUGUUCUUAAAAGCUUGCAUCCCUUUACACAUCACAUCCUCCCACCCAAGGUAAAAGGCAUGUAAAUAAUGAAAAAUGUCACAACCAAAACCAGAAAGGAUCAACAUAAAAUGGAAUUGGGAAUCGAGUGAGACAAUGGGUUCUAGAUACAAGAAUGAAACAGCAUACCAGGACACAGUUAACGGGAGAUUCAAACAGGAGAGAAGCAUUGGAAAGCACAGGAGGAAAAAUCAUCCAUGACAACAAAGGAAUGUCAGAAGAAAAAGAUUAGCCUCAGAAUAUUUCUUUCUCAUAGAAAUUGUCAGGACCUUGUUUGACACUUGAGAUCUGUAACAUAACCUAGUAGAAAAGGAGCAAAACGCAUAACAAGCAAAAUGGGGUAGCAAGGGAGUGCACAAUAUUAUGUCUGUUUUUGAAAUGUCUAUUUGCACAAAGAGAGUGCCAUACAAGCCAAAGAGGAACCAACCCAAUUGAUGCAACAUCUGCAGACACAAACUACCUCCUUGGACCUAGACCAAGAGUGAUAAGCAGUGCAAUUGAUUCCUAUGCUUAACACUUAUUGCUUUCACGAGGAAUUACAAAAUAAUUUCAGAAAUAGGAUUAAAACAAACAGUUCUUGGCUUCAAUUUGAUACAUUUGACGAACACAUGAUUAUGCGUUCUCAGCUUGGAUCUUUGUGUUAUGUGCCUAAGGUGUGGCCAGUCAAUUAAUCAUCUUUUUUUAUAUUGGCCAAUGACUUUGUGCCUUUGGCAUAGAUUGGGUUCCUCCAAGGAAUGUAACCAGUAUGAUGAUUCAGGUUUGGGGAUACUCCAAGAGGAAGGGUAUUUUGGCAUGUGGCUUGCCUUACCUUGUUAUGGAUGGCUUGUAGGAAGAGGAAUGUGAUGAUUUUUGAGGAUAAAUGGAAGACCUUAGAAGUUGGUAUAUUUCCCCUCCUCCUAGGCUUCUACCUCUACAACUUUUGAGGGUACUCCUUUGAACAUUCUACACCUUGAUUGGAACAUGGUUUGCAGCAUGGUUUCUAAAGAUGUAAAACACAUUUAAGGUACCAAAUCAUCUUGGAGCCUAGGCGCAAGGAGCAACCCAAGGUGUGCACCUAAAUGAAGUGAGGUACCCUAAGUCACAAAUAUAAAUUCACACGAUACAAUAAAUAGAUAAAUAAAUAAUACAAAUGUAAAUACCAAAGAGGUGUUGUGACUCAUGAGUGUGCUAAGAGACAAAUUGAGAAAUUAAUAUCUUUAUUAAGAACUACCAGCACCAUGUGUGUAUCCUUCUUCUCUUCUUCUUCUUCCCUUUUUCUCCUUUUCUUUUCCAGCUCUCCUCUUAGCUUCUAUGAAGACCUAAUUUGGGCCCUUUGUUUAAAGGCUCCAUAUGAAAUGGUGUCAUUUUAGGCUUGUUAAAACACACACAAGGAUCAAAACAUCUUUUUGUGUGUGUGCGUGCACACACACAUUUAUAUAUACAUAUCCCAAAAAUGUUGUCAACUCAAUUGCACCUUCAGACAGCCUUGCGCUUGGCUCAAGGUGCAUGUCUUUUGGGCCUAGGUCAUACCUUUGUUAUUGAACAGCACCUAACCUCAAGCAAGGAGCACACUGGUCUGCGAUGUGCUGCCACAUGUCUAGAUGCACUUUUCAUGGCUAUGGUUUGCAGGUUAUGGGUUGCUUUCAAUAUAGACUUCACCUCCAAUGGGUUUGAUUAAGUUAAACUUUUUUUUUUCACAGUUAAGUUUGAUUAAGUUAAACUUUGAUGGGUGUGCUCUAGGUAACUUGAGGCUUGAGCUAGUUUGGAAUAUGAGGUUUGAUUAGAGAUCACCAUGGUACAAUGUUGAGAGCCUUUUCUAAACCUGCAGGACAGAGAUUGGCAAUGGAGACUGAGAUUAACUCUUAUCGAAGGGCUUAUUGUAGGCCAAGGCUUUUGGAUCUUCUCAAUUUGUUGAUAAAGCAGUAUUUUGUUUCACCCUUGAUCUGUAGCAAUCUUGCUGCUCUUGUUGGGUAUUUUCUCCUUUUUAUUAUCAUCCUUUGUAUUUUUUGAAGGAUUUCUCAUCUUCCCUUGCACUUAAAGAGUCAUGUCAAUAAAUUUUUUGUUUAUGAUAAAAAAAAAUGAAUGUAUGAUUAUGGAUGAUCCAAUAAAUUCAUUAGUUUACUUUUUUAACAGAACAAUUAUAUAUUUUUAGAAAAAUAACACAAGACUCCUUGAAAACAGUAAAUUGUAAUUCUCAGUAGUAACAAAUUAUGGCAGUUUACUGCAGAUGAAAACUUUGGGUCUCUCCUAUCUCUUAGUAGGAGAUUCUACUAUUGUCAUAUUAUAGGACAUUAAAAAGAAUGAGGACCAUGGAAGUUUUGAUAACAGGCAGCUGGUUGCACCAAAUUGUUCAAACUACUUCAGAGUUGGAUAAUUCCUUUGCUAGGUGCUUAGCUGAGCAAGUGGUAGAUGCAUUAGCAUGAAGCAAAACAUUUGCUUCUUUUUUUCUUCUUUUUUAUGUGAGAUUUUUUCCCUCCAUGAUUGUGAUCAGUGUUACUUUAAUUAUUUUUUAUUGUUCAAAUAUAUUUGCUUUUUUGGACUAGCAUACAUCUAGCUUCCUUUUUCUGAUCAAACUUUGUACAAUGGAUUCCAUACUGUAGAAAAAACUUCUCAUCUUUCUUUAUAUUUACUAUUUCAAUGCAAUCAAAUGAUCAAUUCUAAUUAAAUAAGUACUAAACUAGAAGGAUUUUUGUUUCUCUUUUUUUUUUAUUACUUCUCAUCACAAGGAAGACCAUUAUAUCCAUGGUUUCCUUCAACCUACAUGUUACAUUUAUAUAGUUCAUGAUAAGUAAGUUUUUCAUAUACUACUUCUGAUAUUCUUCAAAAACUAAAAAAUUCUCUAGUUGUCACUCUAUUGAACAUGAUUUGCACUUCCAAUUACGCAUCUUCACUUCCUAGAAACUGAAGCAUGGGCUGAACAAAAAUUAAAUCACUUCUUCAUCUUAACACUUAUAGUAAAUAUCUUGCUUUUAGGGAACCUGAGCCUGGAUUGACCCCUUAAACCAACAUUCAAAAUUUUGACAACAGAUUCAAUUUAAAACAACAUAGCUUAACAUGCUUGAAUGCUUCCUCCUUUCAAAUAUAUAUUUCAAAUGUGUAAUAUGAACUUUCAAACAACGUAUGCAGCUUCUAUAUUUCAUGAAAUUUCAAACAAUGUAUGUAUAUUUUGCAAGAUACAAGGUAAGGAUCACACUUGUAUGACAUGAAAUUUCUUCCUCCUGCAACACUUGUAAUCCUCACCUUUUCCCCAAGUAUAGAGUUUGUGAUCAUUUGCAUCAGGAAAUACCAUAGAAGGAUCCAACUCUUCAGUUUUUUCAAGUAAGAUAUUUUUUUGAUAAAUAAGCAAGCAAUAGAUUAAGAAGCGGCAAAAAGUCACAAGGCAUACAGGGAGUAUACACAGUAGCCUAAACCAACAAACACAAGCAACAAACAACCUCACCAACCCUUAAGUGGACGCUAGCCACUCCAAAAAGCCUAAGAGAGACAAGGGCUCCUCACCAAUGUACACCCGAGCCCAACUCCACAGAUUACAAACAAAAGAAUUUUUGAGUUUCUGAAUAGCUAAAGACCCCUCCUCCUAAAAGCUAACCUAUUCCUCUCCUUCCAAACCGUCCAAAAAAUACACAACGGGAUGGAAUUCCAAAUCUUUUUCCUUUUUUUCCCUACAAAAGGGUCCUUCCAACUGAACAACACCUCUUUAACUAUCUCUGGGGACACCCACGGAACCCCAAACAAGGCAAGUAUGAUCUCCCAAAGGACCCUGACCACUAUACAGUGUAAAAAAAUAUGAUUUACAGUUUCUUCUUCACAACCACACAAAAAACAACGAUUGGGGAGCUGCCAUCCCCAUUUUUGAAGCCUAUCCAGGGUGAGAAUCUUCCCCCAAGUGGCCUCUCAAGCAAAAAAAGCAGCUUUGGUUGGAGCCUUAUCCACCCAAAUGUUCUUUUUCGGGAAAGCGAAGUCAUUGGGAGCGACCAACAGAAUAUAAGCGUCCUUAACCCCAAAAAUACCACUUUCCCCACUUUUCCAAAAAACUGAAUCCUCCUUUGAAGAUAUCCUACAAUCCCUCAACAAACUCAGCAACUCCCCUAUCAAAUCUAACUCCCAAUUAUUAUAGUCUCUAGAAAAUCUGAGGUUCCACCCUCUUUGACCAAAGCUAGAGUCCCACACUUCAUUAACCGUUGCAUUCCUAUUGACCGCCAAAGUAUAUAACUAGGGGAAGAUUUGGGACAACGUUGCAUUGCCGCACCAAUGAUCAAUUCAGAACUUAAUUUUAGUCCCUUUACCCACUUUAAACUGGAAAUUAUCCCAACACCAGCAAACCUCCUUCAAAAUCUCCUUCCAAACCCCCACUUCAUACGUCCCACGAACCCCAUUAGGCCUCCACCCAAAACCCUCUUGGCCAUACUUCACCAACAACACCUUCUUCCAAAGAUUAUCCUUUUCAAUAGCAAAUCUCCAAACCCAUUUUCCCAGCAAGGCCUUGUUCAGAAGGAUAAUCUUCCUUAAGCCUAAACCACCCUUCUCCUUUUGAGCGCACACCACCUCCCAAUUGAUUAAGUGGACUUUCCUUUCCAAGUUUCCCCUUCCCCAAAAGAAGUCUCUUUGUAAUUUUUCCAGCCUUUUUGCUACAAUCUUGGGCAUUUGAAAAAGGGACAAUUGGUAAAUCGGCAUGCUGGCCAGCGUGCUCUUAAUAAGGGUGAUUCUCCCACCUUUGGAAAGAUAUUAGAAAAUAAAAAUAUAGAAGCUGCUUAUGUAUGUAUAAUUUUAUAUUUUUCUACUAAAUAUAUAACAGCAAAGAACACUUAAGAAAAAGAUAUUACAAAGUGACAUUUGCUCCAAAUGGGUAGAAGUACAGAAAAAUGAGAGAUCUUCAACUGUGAGAAUCAUCUUUCCUGUCAGAAUCAAGUUAAAUAAGCUGAAGAAGAUUACCUUUAUCCGGACUAGUGGAAGCUUGAGCUCUGAUCCAUUAACAAACUUUCCACUAGCUUUGUCAAUCAGGUUUCUGACCUAAAGAAAUUUCAACUUAUAAGAAAACAGUUGUUAUAAAGAAAGUAGCGUUCUGACCAAGAAUAUCACUUGCACAAGAAAAUAAAAGAAUUAAUAAAUUUGAGGGGUUGAAUAUUCCUUUGACAUUGUGAGAAAGAAAACACCUCACCACUUUGUCUAGAUGUUCAAGAAUUGAAGUUUGAUCAUUUGGAUCAAUGUCAGCUUCAUCCUUUAGCACAAUCUGCAUCACAAACAUCAAGUGAGUCAACAGAAAUAUUUUUAAAGAUGAAACAAAAUGACAAUGGCUUACCUCAGUGUAUUCAAAAGGCCUCACUGACUUCAAUGGGAUCUUGGUUGGGCGGUAUUGAUUUCCCUAUAUAAAUCAUACUUGAAUCACACACAAUAUGGGAAUUAAAAGGAUCAACCAAAACUGUAUGUCAAAACAUGAAUGAUUUAUGCAGGAAUUUGCUGAAAAACAACCUUAAUUUCUAAAAGUAGUACAUGCUUCGGCUUUGACUCUCCAUCAAUCAGUGAUGUUGCAAUGGAAGAGCCUGGUUGGGUAAUGUGGAAACCCAUACCUGCAACCUCCUGUUCAAAGCAAAACGACCUCCAAUGAGAUACUGUAGCAAAAGUAAAGUCAUGAGUUAUAGAAAAAAACAAAUAAAUAUUUGGUGCCACCUGAGGAUCAACAAGACAUUCAUGUUCAUGCCCCCACACUAUGAAGUCUAGGAACCUUGGUAAAAAAUGCUCACUGAUUGCAUUUUUAGGAUUUGUCUUUACUCUGCAGACCAUGAAAGAAGUUAAGUUUGAUUAUCGCAUACCUUUUUUUUUUUUGAUUGAAAACGACACAAAGAUAUAUUGAUAGAAAAAGAAGUACAAGAAGAAGGAUGAGAAAUCCUCCUGCCAAAGACAACUAAAUUACAGGAAAAUACACAGAAAACAAACAAUCUCCCUAUAAGGACCAAUCCUUAUGGAGUACACACCGCUAUCCAAUCAAGUUGAAUCACAUUAAGGGGAGUCUCCUUAAAUGCCUUGGAACAGAAAGCCCAAAGAGAAGCAAGGAAAACAAUAAAGUCCCAAAGAAAUUCUGAAUUCCUUGCUUUAUGUAAAUGCCCAAUAGCUAGAGACUUUGAUAAUGUCACAAUAAUUCAAGAUCUUUUCUCUUUGAGCAUGAUCUAAUAGAAUCUCAGAGAAAAAAGUACAACCUGUUUUGAUGAAGUACCAAAAUGUUGAACCAGUCUGACACUUGACACCCUUCUUGAGCUUCGGGCUGCAUCCAUUGCACAGCAUGUGGUGUCUAAGAUUAAAAAGACAAACCCAACAAACAUGUGAGUACCAUGGUGUCAAAGGUUGACCACUGAAAUGCAACUGUUCCAACAUAAAUUACCUGAAACAUCCUAUUGAGGCGUUCAUCUCGAAUAUUCCCAAGACCAUAGAGAGCCACAAGCGUUGAACCCUGCCAAAAAGAAAUAUAAGUCAUACUAUAAAGAAAUUAAUAACUAGCCCAAACCUUCUAAGAAUAAAGUAUUGUGACACACCUUCCUAAUAAGAAUAGGGUAGAGAGUGAUUUGACCAACACCAGAACCUCCAAGAACCAUUUUCCCAAAAUAGUUCACCAGAUUGCAUGCCGAAAGAAUAUCAACAGCAGAAAGGUUGUCCUGUCACCACAGUAAGGACCAAAACACUAAUGGUACUAACACAUCCCAAAAAACCAGUCUUAAGAAAACUGGAGGAUAUAUAUAUAUUAGGUAAAAACAGGAAAGUAUAUAUAAAAAGAAAAUUGGUGAAUAUCCAUUACAUCUAAGAACUAAUAACAAACACACAAACAAAAGAAAAAAAAUAAUAAAACAAGAAGGUUCAACUGCUUCAGUCAAGAAAUCUAGCAGGUAUUGAUAUUUGUCAUAGGUGCUGCCAGUGCAAAAAAAGCAACUUAAACUGUCAGUCCAAGGCGGGAACAGGGAAUUGUGCCCAGUUGCUUCUGAUGGAAAAAUGAAGGGUUCUUAAACCAGCAAUCAAGGAAGUAGAGAAUUCCAUUCAUUUACAGGACAUGAUCAUCAGUAGCCAUAUAUCAACUUUAUGAUUCAUUCAGGACAACCAGGGUGUGAUCUUGAAAGAACCACCUGAAUACACUAGAUCUCAUCUUAGAAAGCAAAGUAUACAACAGAGAAAACAGCAAUGGGAACCUCUACUAUGGAGCUCCUACCACUCACAAAGCGUUACAAUAUUGCAUAACACUUCCAAUAUUUGGCAAACUAAAUAUUCUUGACUUUAAUCAACUAAAAAAAGAAAAAGGAAAAGAAAAAUCUUUAUGCUCCAUUUGGAUCAUGGAAAGCAUUAGGGAAAGGAAAAGGCAUAGGAAGGAAUCCCAAAUCCUCUUGCUUGAUUUACCAUGGGAUGUUUGAAAGGAAAAUGAAAUAUAAUGAAAAUUAUUUUAAAAUGUAUGCAUUUUAAAAUACUUUAUUAUUUAUUAGAGGAGAAAAAGAAAAAAAAUCGAUUUGGUGAAGCAUAUGCACAUUUUAUUGAAUCUAAACCUAUUUCCUAUAUUUCCUUACUUUUCCUUUCCUUCCAUUUUCCCUCCAUUUUCUUUCCCUCAAGCUUGCCAAGCUCUAAAUGGAGCCUAAGAAAAAAAAAAAAUCUAUUUUCAUCACUGGAAUUGCCUCACAUAUAGACUAUUUUUUGAUAAGUAAGAAAAGUAUUGUAUUAUGGGGAGGCGCUAAAAUAGCGACUCAAAAUGUAUAGAACAGAAAGGGAAAUACUCACCCCCUAACAAUUGAAACAAAAAACUGUCCACAAUGAUAUACAAAAAAUAAAAAUAAAAACAACCCCUCCCUUAAUAGGAACCCACCCAAUCAAUAAACUCCAAAAAGGUUAAUGGACCAUCUUUUAUAAACAGUUUAGUCUCCGAACAAAGUGAGUUAAGAAAAUAAGUUUUCAGCCUUUGGAUGGACAACACCUCAUCUUCAAAGGCAAUUCUAUUCCUUAUCUUCCAAACUGUCCAAAAAAUGCAAAGAGGACUCACUUUCCAAACUAUCUUACACCUUUUUUCCACAAAGAAUCUAUUCCAACCCAAUAGGGUUUCCCUAACCGAAGACGGAAACACCUGAUAGGGUUUCACAUAUAGACUAUAAUACUAUCAGACUCAAUAUGUUGCUAAACAAUAACAGUUAAAUCCUACUCCAUAAUUAUUCCUUUUAUUUUAAGUAAUGCUUUAUUGCACUCUGCCAAAGAACAAUCACCGAUUAAGCCAUAAGUGAUCCUCUUGAAAGUGAAAAACCCCUAAAAAGGACAAAGCUAAAUAGAAAAAAAUAUCAGCAAUACAACGCCCAUUUUUAAGAAAUGAAGUAGCAUCAUAAUCAUGGUCCAAUCCAUGGCAGAGCAAAUUCUAUAUUUGGGUGUGCUUAUGACGUCUAGAGAGAUCACACUACACCUCAAUUUGACAUUCAUUAUCUUCUAAAUGCAUCACAUGACAGAAUACUAAAAUAGAAAGUUGAAAUCCAAAAAAAAAAUUCAGAGGAACCAUGACAGACUUAACAACUCAUGGUCAAAAUAUACAAAGAGAAACAAAAUUUACAGCAGUUUACCAUAUGAACCAUACCACUCCAGCAGGAUCAUCAUGAUUUCCAUGAAUACUAAAAACUGGCAAGCCGACAUUGAAGUGAGGAUCUUCAUAAUUCACAUGACCAAAUCUGUCCAGAGUGACAUGACAUUAUGAAUUGAAGACAGCUAUAGAUAUACACAGCAAGAACAGGAAACAGCUUUUGUGAAUUUUUUUUUUUCUUGCAUACAAGUGUAAGGUCUAAAAAAUAAAAGAUGAAUAAAAAUUAUUUUAAGGAAAUAGAAAUACGUUAGCAUAUAGUUAAUCUAGAAUGAAAUGAUUAAAAAAAUGGUUUCAUACUUAAACAACUUAUUUCCUUAAAGUGUCAAAUAUGACCAUUGUGUGAAUAGUUGGAAUGUUGUCAUAGGAUAGCAUGGUUUUGCAAUAAAGAUUCAAGAAACAUGACUUGGUCAGGAAAAACUAAGUUUUUCUUGAAGUCAUGACAUGAACACUGCUUGGGAUAAAGGGAUCAAAACAAACAAAGAAACAGAAAUAUUGUUGAAGUAUCCAUUUUAAUCAAAUAAAGUGAAAAGUAUGAAUGCUUUCAUUAGCAUAAUGUUUAUCAAGAGCAUAAUGUGUCAAUACAUGUUUGCGAAGUUCACAGUCUGAUCACUGACAACUUCAAACUGCACCGGACGAUCAUUGAGGGUAUAACGACGGAGGAUCUCAAUGGUCUUAACCAAUGUUGACCUUGAGGGCUUAUUCUCAUGGAAAAGAUCACCACCAAGGAGUAAGAAGUCCACCUGAUUCCAUAUAGAAGUUAGUAGUAACAUUUGAUAUGUAUAAUAUUUGGAUAUUUGAUAAGUCUUCUAAUGAUUUGAAAAUUUAAAAUUAACUAAGAGAAUGAAAGAGAAAUAAUUUCCAUAACCUUGGGCCUCCACCUUCGUAUGUUCAUCUUUGAAUUUGGACACAAUGGUAAAAGGAAUUUAUUAUUGAUUGAAAAAUUGAAACAAAGUUAUAAAUAUGCAACAGAAAUCAUUCAGUGAAGUAAGAAAGAGAAUAACAGAAUGAAGUCAAUAGAGAUACAGGGGUAAAAAGGAGAAACAGUAGCAGAAGUGAACUCUUCCACUUAAAACCACAGCCAGCAGCUACUGGAGAAAUUGGGAUCAGUGGGCAUAAAAUAUACAAAAAGGGGCAGCAAAAUUUCAUCUUUGCAUUAAAAGCAUACAAGCCAGAAUAUCUAUGCCAGUAAUUGGUAAACGGCAAUGCAUAUAAAAGAUACUAUAAAUAAGGUAAACAAAGUAUAAAAUUUUGAUUAUUACCUGCUUUUGAUCUGCUAUUGAGCAUAUUUCCUCAAAUGCCUGGAAAGAAUCAUGCCUACGUACUUCAUCCUUCUCCAUAUAGCCUAGAUGGCAAUCCGUAGCAACAAGCACUCUAAGAGUAUUGCUGGCAUCCUCCCUGAGAAAAAAAAAAUGAAAGAAACUCUUUUAGAUAGCCGCCCAAAUCGAAAAUGUACAUUUUUUUUCAUGAGUAAGAAGAUAGUCCAACGCUCAAGAAAGGAGAAAAUUGGCAUUGCACAAAAUAAUAUUCAAAAAAGUUGCAAUCUCACUGCUAGAGGUACCCGUUUAUCAUACAUAACAUUGUAAAAUUUCAGCAUUACAUUCACUAUAUUAGCCAUCAUAAACUAUGGCUUCAAGUGGUUUACCUCGAAGAAUCACCCAUGCCAGCAAAAGUCUCACCGCUUCAAACCCUACAACAACAAUGUAUAGUUUCAUCAAACAAAUAAAAAUCUACUUAUAUAUGCAGCUGGGAGUCAACUCAGGAACUAUUUCUUGAGUUCUCAAUCUUGAAGUCCUGUUUUCAAUAACGCAAAAUUCACAAUAAAACAUUUUACAUGACGUUAAUGCUAAAAAUGGCAGAAAUGCAAUCAAAAUCGAACUAAAAACCAUACGAAUAAAAGUUACAAAAACCCCGAGAAAGUUCCAAUUUAAACCACAAAAGAAAAAUGGAAUUCAAGUGGAGAAAGAAACUAACCGAAGAAACAUGAAACCCUAAAACAGUGAUACGUCCAUAAAUGAAUCAAGUAACCAGAGGAGAACGCACAAGAUUAAUGGAAGCGUAAUAGAAGGAAAGGUCUGUUUGGUUGCAGAGAAAGCAUAAGAAAAGAAGCACAAGUUUAAAAUUUUUUGACAAAACCUAUUCAAUACCCAACCUGUUACAACAGUCCAAUUUUAUAUCUUUUCUUGCGAUUUCUCAGAAACCAAACAAACAGUGAUGGAUAAAAACAAAGAAUUAACAGAAAAAGAAUAAAUAACUUAAAAACUAUUACCAAUACUGAGACUGAAUGAGUGAAGAGUAGAGAGACGAAUAAGGGAGUGGUGGCGGGGAAUUUGAAAGAGGAAUAUGAAGAAAAUGUGUCCUUCACUGCACUGACAAAUAGGUCCUUUUUGUUAGACAAAAACGGAGAAACCUAAACGGCGUCGUUCUGGAAUCGGGGAAACGUAGGAGGGAAGCUGGUGUUCUUUUAAUGGAGAAAGCGGAAAAACGGAGCCAAAACGGUGUCGCUUCAAUUAGUAGUGUGGCACAAAAACUUUAAACUUGAGAAUUGCUUUUUUAGGUUUCCGUGGGUGAGAGGGCCCAACUUGCACGGGCGACCCAAUCCAACCCGAACCCAACCCGAUGUUUAGACAGGUUUGAGCAAUUAUUUUUAAAAUUCAGGUUGGACUUGACUCAAGGUACAAGACAACUUGAGUAUAAUUUUAUAGUAUUUAUAAUGCAUCUUAUCUUCUAUAAUAAUAUUUAUUUUUUAAAAUAUAAAAUUAUAUUAUAUUAUAUGUUUUUCAUUAUUUUUAAAAAAUAUAUAAAUUUAUAUUUAUUCUUUUAUUACUAUUUUGAAAUUUUAUCAUAUUUGUUAUUUAAAUUUUCAUAUAAACAUAUUAAAAUAAUAUUAUAGAUAGAUUUUGAAUUAUGUAACCCGAUCAAUCUGAAUCUAAUUUGAACAACUCAAACUCAACCCAAGUUUAAAAAAAUGAGAUUAGGUUGAGUUUGAGUUGAGCACCUUAAAUUAGAGUUCGGAUUGAGUUAAGUUUUAGUUUAUUAUUUAUUAAUUUCGAAGACUCUCACAUUCACAUCCAAUAAUUUAAAUGCAUCAAAUAUAAAUAAAAAUAAAUAAACUAUAUAUGAACCAAGGAUAACUAGAUAACAAACAAAUUUAAAAAGUAAAUAAUAAUUAAUUAUUACAUAUAAAAUAAGAGUGUGUUAGGUAGAUUUUACAAAACGUUUCUAGUUUUUCUAACAUUCGAAUGAUAAAAUUUUUCAAGUGUUAAAAAUAUUAAAAGUAUUUUCUAAAAUUACUAUCAAACAAAUUCUAAGUAUCCUAAAAAAAUAUAAAUGAAAUGUUUAAAGACGCCCUCAAAUCUAUCACAACACUCAUCUAAUUCUUCUUUUAUUUUUCAAAUAAAAAUGAUUUUGAAAGCACAAAAAUAUGUUAGUUUUUUUUUUCAUCUUAUUCACAAUCACCAACAUGUAAUUCUAUAAUUUGCUAAGUAUAAACAUUGCCAAACCCUUUUUUCCAUCAAACUUUUAAAUAUAAAAUAUUUAAGAUUAUGUUUGGUUUUUGAGAGAAAAUAUAAGGGAAAUAAAAUAUAUAAAUAAAAAUAAUAAUAAAAUAAAAUGUUGAUGUAAAGUUAAUAAAUUAUUUUUAUAUGUUAUUUCAAACUCGUUUAAUUUUAUUGGACCGGAAUUAGUUACCAUUCAUCAAAAUAAAUAAAAUAUUAAAAAAUACAUCAAUGUCAAUAUUAGAUAAUGAUAAGGGAGAAUCAAAUUCUCCAUGAUACGUGCUGCAUUCCUUUUCUGUUAGCAUAAUAUCCUCUUGUAUAGCUGUAGGGAUAUACUCAAUAUUUGUAUUUGAUUCUUUCCUAUUAUGUAGGAGUUUACAACUGUAAUUACCGUGUAUAUAAUGAAGAGUUAUCUCCUCAUCCGAUAAGGAGGAUUUCAGUCAUUUACCGUGUUUAUCAAACACCUUUAUGGUAUCAGAGCGUGGUUUCUUUCGAUUCUGACCAUGGCUGUUUCGUCUUCUUCACCUCCUAGUCUUCCGCUCAAUACAAUGGUGCAUAUGCUCACCAUUAAAUUGACCUCCUCCAAUUAUCUAUUGUGGAGAAAUCAGUUCGUUCCUCUGUUAGCUAGUCAAGAGCUUUUUGGUUAUUUGGACGGUAGCAUCACGGCUCCUUCUCCCAUGAUUACUGCCUCUGAUGGCACCCCAAAAUCCAAUCCUGCAUAUACCUCUUGGCUGCAUACCGAUCAGACACUGCUCAGUUUACUCUAUUCUUCUCUCACAGAGGAAUCUAUGAGUGAGGUACUGGGUUUCCGUCACUCCCACGAGGCCUGGCAUGCGCUUGAAGUCUCAUUUUCGCACCGAUCAAAGACUCGCGAACUGCAACUCAAGGAUGAACUCCAGCUGAUGCACCGUGGCUCUCAGUCCAUUGCUGAGUUUUCUCACACCUUCAAAGGCCUUUGCGAUCAACUGGCUGCUAUUGGACGUCCCAUUGACGUCACGGAUAAAGUCCACUGGUACCUACGCGCAUUGGGACUCGACUACAAGAUCUUUUCUACCACCAUGAUGUCACAACUUCCUCUACCAUCCUUUGCUGAAAUUGUUCCGAAAGCUUUGAGCCAUGAAAUCUUUGAAUGGUCAGUCUCCCAUUCAUAUUCCAACUCUGCUUAUUUUGUGCAGCAAACUUCCAAAGUGGCUGGUCACAAGCAAGUGAAGCAUCGGUCUUCAGCUUCUCCUACACCGUUUGCCAACUCAAAGUCAUCAUCCAACUCCUCCGUCCGCUGUCAGUUGUGCGACAAAAAGGGACACUUGGCUAAACGUUGCUGGAAUUUCCUGAAACUCAAGAAGAAGCAAUCGGCUAACCUUGCUGAGGCUUUUUCUGCCUGCUCGAUUCAGGAUUUUAAUGACUCUGAAUGGUUCCCUGACUCUGGUGCAACGUCCCACAUGACUAGUGACACCGAAGGUGUGGAUCAACCGGCUGUCUAUUCUGGUAAUGAACGUGUCAUGGUUGGCAAUGGUCAGUCCUUAGCAAUCUCUCACACUGGUUCCAUUUCAUCUCUUGUUCCGUCUAGUCCUCUUCUUUUAUCUAAUGUCUUAGUUGUUCCUGGAAUUAAGAAAAAUCUUAUUUCUAUUAGUCAACUUACUAAAGACAAUAAUUGUUGUGUUACCUUUUCUUCCUCUGGUUUUACCAUACAGGAUCGGGUCACAAGAGUGGUACUGGGAGUCGGAAGAUGUGAAAAUGGUCUCUACGUGUUGGAUCGUCGUCAUCAUGCCUUAGUGUCCACUACUUUUUCACCGCGAGCAUCUGUUCGUUUAUGGCAUACUCGCCUUGGUCAUCCACAUUAUCGUACUAUUGCUUCUCUUUCUAAAUUAGGAUCUAUUUCUUGUAGUAAUAAAUUGGUGAACAAUAAUUCUGAAAUUUGUGUUGGUUGUAGACUCGGAAAAAGCCACCGUUUACCUUUUUCUCUAAAUAAUGAACGUUGUGUUAUGCCUUUUGAUCGUUUACAUUGUGACCUAUGGGGUCCGUUACUAGUUUCUUCCUUUAAUGGAUAUAGAUACUAUGCGGUUUUCAUUGAUGAUUGUACUAGAUUUAGUUGGAUAUUUCCUUUAAAACACAAAUCUGAUUUCUUUGAUAAUUUCAUCAAUUUACAACGUUUUAUUGAGACACAGUUUUCCGCCAAAAUCAAAUCAUUUCAGUGUGAUGGUGGAACUGAGUUUACUAAUAAUAAGUUUCGCUCUCAUUUGCAUUCGUGUGGCAUUGAUCUCCGUCUGGCAUGUCCUUACACUCCUAGUCAAAAUGGAAUUGCCGAACGUAAGCAUCGUCAUGUCACAGAAACAGGUCUUACUCUUAUGUUUCAUGCUCGUGUGCCGCUCUCCUUAUGGGUUGAGGCCUUCUCUACUGCCGUCUUUCUCAUUAACCGACUCCCGUCACCAUCUCUUGCUGGCAAAACACCUUAUGAGCUCCUGUUUGGUAAGCAACCCGAUUAUUCUAUGCUUCGUACCUUUGGGUGUCUUUGCUUCCCUUAUUUGAAAGAUUACUCACCUCAUAAAUUGUCUCCAAAAUCUACUCCUUGUGUCUUUUUAGGUUACAGUACCCUUCAUAAAGGAUUUCGGUGCUUAGAUCGUAAGACACAUCGUGUCUAUGUUUCUCGACAUGUGCAGUUUUAUGAACAUACUUUUCCCUAUAAUGGUGAUUUUGUGCAAAAUCUGCCAUCUAACAUUGACUAUAUUCAUUUUUCUGAGUUUCAGGAAUGUGUUUCUAGUUCUUCUAACAUUAGUACUUCAGAUUCUUUGCCUUCACCAUCUUUCUCGAAUUCACUGUGUCUGCCUUGCAAUGAUAUUCCACACUUGUCUUCGACUUCUUCUCCUGGUCCGCAAGUUCCUCUUGAUGAGGACUCUCUCUUGGAUUCUGUUGCUACAGAUUCGACCACUCCUUCACCAGUCUCGUCCUCUCCUCGUGUGACCACUUCCAGCCAUCCGAUGAUUACUAGAGGAAAAACUGGUAUAUUCAAACCACGGUUGUAUCAUGUUAUGCAUAUCUCAUCUUCUUCUCAGUUGUUUCAGGCUCUUCUUGCUCUCAAAGAGCCACGAGGCUUCAAGUCUGCUGCAAAACACCCUGAAUGGCUCUCGGCUAUGGAUGAUGAAAUUCACGCACUGAAGAAAAAUGAUACGUGGGUUCUUGUACCUCGUCCUCAGCAUCAUAAUGUGGUUGGCUGUCGCUGGAUUUUCAAAACAAAGCUUCACUCUGAUGGGUCUAUUGAGCGUCAUAAGGCACGUCUUGUGGCUCAAGGAUUUUCUCAAGUUCAUGGUCUUGAUUUUGGUGACACCUUUAGCCCUGUGGUGCGUCCUGCUACAGUCAGAAUCAUUCUAUCAUUGGCUGUUACUUCUGGAUGGCGUUUACAUCAGCUAGAUGUUAAAAAUGCAUUUCUUCAUGGCUUUCUCAACGAAGAGGUGUACAUGGAACAACCGCCUGGCUACACUGAUCCACAGUUUCCUCAGCAUGUUUGUCGUCUAAAACGUGCUCUUUAUGGCUUGAAACAAGCUCCUCGAGCUUGGUUUCAUCGAUUUAGCUCAUUUUUGCUGAAACUUGGUUUUCACUCUAGUCAGGCUGAUUCUUCGUUGUUUGUUUAUCACUCCUCGCUUGGUACUGUUUACUUACUUCUUUAUGUUGAUGACAUGAUCAUCACUGGAAGUACUCCUUCUCUGGUUCACACCUUUAUUACUCGGCUUUCCAACGAAUUCUCCAUGAAGGACUUGGGUGAUCUUCAUUAUUUUCUCGGAGUUGAAGUUCAAGCUAAUGAGAAGGGUCUAUUUCUCAGUCAAACGAAGUAUGCUCUUGAUCUCUUGCAACGUGCUUCAAUGAUUGAUGCCAAGCCUAUUUCUACACCUUUUGUUGUUGGACAGCAUCUAUCCGCCGAAGGGACUCUAUUCUCCGACCCUACUCUGUUUCGUUCUCUUGCCGGUGCUUUUCAAUACCUCACGAUCACCAGGCCUGAUUUGUCCUUCAGUGUCAACUCCAUUUGCCAAUUCAUGCAUGCUCCCACCGAGGAUCAUUUUCGUGCUCUCAAGCGUAUCUUGCGCUAUGUUAAAGGCACUGCUCAUCAUGGUCUCCAACUUCACAAACAGUCCACUCGUGAUCUUCUUAGCUACUCUGAUGCGGAUUGGGCUGGAUGUCCUGAUACACAUCGCUCUACUACCGGCUAUGCUAUCUUUUUUGGAGCUAAUUUAAUCUCUUGGUCUUCUAAGAAACAAAGCACUGUCUCUCGUUCAAGUGCAGAAGCCGAGUAUCGCUCCUUAGCUGUUGCUACUGCUGAUAUUGCAUGGAUUAUUCAGUUGCUUCGGGACCUUCAUGUUACACUCUCAAUGCCACCUAAAAUUCUUUGUGACAAUCAAAGUACAAUUUUUAUGGCAGUCAAUCCGAUUACUCGUCCUCGAUCCAAACAUAUUGCAAUCGACUACCAUUUUGUUUGUGAACUUGUUGAUAAAGGCACUUUGAAAAUUGAUUUUGUUCCUUCCCAUCUACAGCUUGCUGAUUCACUGACCAAAGGAGUUACCAAGCCACAGUUCUAUAUCUUUUGAAGCAAGCUCAGCGUUCUCCCUUCUACCACGCUCACCUUGCAGGGGGGUGAUAAGGGAGAAUCAAAUUCUCCAUGAUACGUGCUGCAUUCCUUUUCUGUUAGCAUAAUAUCCUCUUGUAUAGCUGUAGGGAUAUGCUCAAUAUUUGUAUUUGAUUCUUUCCUAUUAUGUAGGAGUUUACAACUGUAAUUACCGUGUAUAUAAUGAAGAGUUAUCUCCUCAUCCGGUAAGGAGGAUUUCAGUCAUUUACCGUGUUUAUCAAACACCUUUAGAUAAUAUUCAAAGUGUAGAAUUAUUAGGGAGGAAUGUAGACACUUCAAAUGGAGAAAAUUUGCAAAUAAAACAAUAGAUAAAUAACUUUUGUGGGUUGGAUCUAGUGCCGAUAUUUUAGAAUUUUAUAUUUAUAUAUAAAAGGACAAAAACAAUAUUAUAAAGGUUUUUUCAAUUAAAAUUGAAAAAGCUUUCCAAAUAAACUUAAAGUAGUCAAGCCGAUGAGGAAACAAAACCCAAACAGAUUAAAGGUAGAUUUAAAAUAUAUAUUUUUAAAUUUAAGACCGAUUUAAGUAUUAUCUUAUCUCACCUGCCUCACCUCAAUUAUAUAUAUAUAUAAUAACAUCUUAAUUAUUUAUAAAAUAUAUAUUUAAUGUAAUUAAAAAUUUUUGAAAAAAAAGUUUUGCAAAAAAAAUAAAAAAUAAAAAAUAAACAAGAGGUAGAAGAAUAAUGAGAAAUUUGUACACAUGUCCUACCACACCCUGUUGAGAUAAGAAUUAUUUUGAAUAUUGACAAAUUGGGAUGGGGACGAUAUGUCUUCAAUUCAUCAAUUGUCAUCCUUAUUUGUGAAAAGCAAAUUGAAAAAUCAUAAACCAUUUAAUUAAAUCUACAUAAAACACGUCUACAUUUUCUCAACAACUAUCAUGAUUUCAAUCCAAUUCCAUUAAAUCAUUCCACUUUGAUUUCAAAAUAUGCCUUUGUCUUCUCUUAAUUUGAUUGCAACCCUAAUACUCUAACUUGUCCUUUAAUUCAUUUGCUCUUGAAUUGACAUAUACACCAUUAAUAAAAUUUACCCCACCCCUCGAAUAAACACCUCAUCUCAUACCUUAGAAAGAAGUUUUGAUUCUGUCGAUAUUUGAAGGAUUUAGUUUUUAAUACUAUAUACGAAGUAAAAUCUUCUUAAUCAUACAGACAUGGUUUAAAUUCUAUCUGACUUUAUUUACCUUUUUCGCUGACCAGAAAGUCAAUAAUUUGUAAUGGGGAUCAUGUCCAAACUUGAUUUGCCUAAUUGGAUGUACAGCUAGCAUAUACAUCACAUCCAAGUGAUGAUUACACCACCUGUUAGUUCUUAAUUAAUCAUGAUCCUUGGGACCUUGUUCUAUUGUCUCGUCUGUGAGAAUUAAGAAAAGCAUUUUCCACAUUUUUAAAUGGAAGCUCAAGUUCAACCAAAGGGGGAUGGCCUUGAAUCAUAGCUAGUUGUAUUUUUGUUUGACGAGAGGGGAAAAUCAUUUGACUGGUGAGGUAGAUUGAUCACACUAUGGGAAAACCCCAUCCUCAGGAAACAAAAAAAGUUAAUUUCUUCUCCACUGAAUGGAAAGAGUAAAAUGAUGGCAAAUUUACUAAUCCUUUCUGGGUUUUGUUUUAUUCCUCAGGGUGUUUGGAUUAUGCUGACAGCUUUCCUUGGAAGGACCGUUUGGAUAGUAGGAAAGCAAGUGAGAGCAAACACAGCUUUUUCUGAGUUGAAUGUGGUCGAACACUGCACACUGGAAUGAUGGCCGUUCCAUUCUUCUUCUCAUGCUGAGAAUUCUUGUGAUUGGCCUAAUAGCGAUACGAAUAAGCCAAACCCCUCGUAACCAAACUGCCCACAAAGUAGAAUGAAAAAAGGAAAAAAGGGAUUCUAGAUAGCCAAACAGGAUUGCACACCCAACCCCAACUAAUCAGAACUAGCCUUAUGGGAUUUAAUAGCAUGCCAUCCACUCUCGGCCAUUUCAGCUGGUUGUGAUGAAAGCAGAGCCUAAAGGCCACCAAGCUCGAACCCCGGUCUAGUAAUUGCCACUUUUUUUUUUUAAAAUAAAAAUAAAAAUAAAAAUGAAACUCUAAAUAGUAAAAUACUUGAAAAUAUAAUAAAAACAAAUUCAUCAUUUACUAAAUAAAAGAUUAUUUAUCUGAGCACUAUCCAUUAAACCCUUGCAAGUUGAUCGGAUAGAUAGUUCGAACCUCAACAUUCUUUAUAGAGUGUAAUAAAACUGAUUUAAGUUUUACAAUUCAACGUAAUUCGGACCGUGUUGAUCAUCGAUCACUUUCUUUUGUUGAAAUCUCUGCCGGGCCCAAAAACAUGUAGCAGUACUCUAGUCUGUCCUGCUUGCCAAAAGGUACAUCAAAUAAUAUACUCCAUGAUGAAAUGAAGAGGCGCCCCAUGACCAAUCACACACUCUUAUUCGUCGUGGGACUGUCACGAGUAUAUUAGGAUGUGCCGAGACACACUGGUGGGGGCUAAUGCCUGAACCGCCCGAGCUAGCAUGGACCACAGCUGCGUGAUGAUUAGAGAGGGCAACAUCAUGACAACGACGAUUGUUGUAUCACUGCAUCAAUACUGCAGUAUUUCCAGAAUAUUCCAGUAGGAUUGUAUACAAAUUUGCAGCUGGUUCCUGAAAGGCUGAGCUUUUUGCCCUGAUAAUGUAGUUUAAUUUAAUUUAAUCUCAUAACACAAGUUUCUUUGGAUUUAUUCUCUACCUCCUAGCAUAUGAGUUGGACUGCCUUGCCUAUUCCCUACUCCCUACAAGGUUUGAGAUCGGGGAUGGGUUUUGAUUUGAUUUAGACAUCUAAUGAUACGGAAGUUAGAAAAAUAUUGC